RNAcentral lists this ribosomal RNA (587 nucleotides) under uncultured bacterium. RNAcentral's name for it is "partial 16S ribosomal RNA". It matches the Rfam family "Bacterial small subunit ribosomal RNA", at positions 355 to 1375 of the family's 1533-position model. The record is from RNAcentral.
UGGGGAAUUUUGGACAAUGGGCGAAAGCCUGAUCCAGCAAUGCCGCGUGUGUGAAGAAGGCCUUCGGGUUGUAAAGCACUUUUGUCCGGAAAGAAAUCCUUGGCUCUAAUACAGUCGGGGGAUGACGGUACCGGAAGAAUAAGCACCGGCUAACUACGUGCCAGCAGCCGCGGUAAUACGUAGGGUGCAAGCGUUAAUCGGAAUUACUGGGCGUAAAGCGUGCGCAGGCGGUUUGCUAAGACCGAUGUGAAAUCCCCGGGCUCAACCUGGGAACUGCAUUGGUGACUGGCAGGCUAGAGUAUGGCAGAGGGGGGUAGAAUUCCACGUGUAGCAGUGAAAUGCGUAGAGAUGUGGAGGAAUACCGAUGGCGAAGGCAGCCUCCUGGGCCAAUACUGACGCUCAUGCACGAAAGCGUGGGGAGCAAAACAGGAUUAGAUACCCUGGUAGUCCACGCCCUAAAACGAUGUCAACUAGUUGUUGGGGAUUCAUUUCCUUAGUAACGUAGCUAACGCGUGAAGUUGACCGCCUGGGGAGUACGGUCGCAAGAUUAAAACUCAAAUGAAUUGACGGGGUCAUAGCUGUUUCCU